Molecule: unclassified non-coding RNA, 282 nt
Filed under: plant metagenome
Description: partial contains small subunit ribosomal RNA, internal transcribed spacer 1, and 5.8S ribosomal RNA
Source: RNAcentral
UUUCCGUAGGUGAACCUGCGGAAGGAUCAUUAUUGUAUAACCGAGGUGCGAGGGCUGUCGCUGACCCGAAAGGUCGUGCACGCCCGAGUGCCCUCACACACAUCCAUCUCACCCCUAUGUGCACCACCGCGUGGGUCCCCCUUUGGCUUGUUCGGAGGGGGGCUUACGUUUUCACACAAACUUUGUAUGCAGUGUAGAAUGUAUUUUUUGUUUUUGCGAUCACGCAAUCAAUACAACUUUCAACAACGGAUCUCUUGGCUCUCGCACCAUGAAGAACGCAGC